CGGAAAGGAGGAGUGGCGAACGGGUGAGUAGCACGUGGGUAACCUGCCCAUCAGAAGGGGAUAACACUUGGAAACAGGUGCUAAUACCGUAUAACAAUCGAAACCGCAUGGUUUUGAUUUGAAAGGCGCUUUCGGGUGUCGCUGAUGGAUGGACCCGCGGUGCAUUAGCUAGUUGGUGAGGUAACGGCUCACCAAGGCCACGAUGCAUAGCCGACCUGAGAGGGUGAUCGGCCACAUUGGGACUGACACACGGCCCAAACUCCUACGGGAGGCAGCAGUAGGGAAUCUUCGGCAAUGGACGAAAGUCUGACCGAGCAACGCCGCGUGAGUGAAGAAGGUUUUCGGAUCGUAAAACUCUGUUGUUAGAGAAGAACAGGGAUGAGAGUAACUGUUCAUCCCUUGACGGUAUCUAACCAGAAAGCCACGGCUAACUACGUGCCAGCAGCCGCGGUAAUACGUAGGUGGCAAGCGUUGUCCGGAUUUAUUGGGCGUAAAGCGAGCGCACGCGGUUUCUUAAGUCUGAUGUGAAAGCCCCCGGCUCAACCGGGGAGGGUCAUUGGAAACUGGGAGACUUGAGUGCAGAAGAGGAGAGUGGAAUUCCAUGUGUAGCGGUGAAAUGCGUAGAUAUAUGGGAGGCACACCAGUGGUCAAGGCGGCUCUCUGGUCUGUAACUGACGCUGAGGCUCGAAAGCGUGGGGAGCCAACGGGAUUAGAUACCCUGAUAGUCCACCGCCGAAAACGAUGAGUGCUAAGUGUUGGAGGGUUUCCC
This 769-nucleotide ribosomal RNA is filed under the name Enterococcus faecium. RNAcentral's name for it is "bacterial SSU rRNA". It matches the Rfam family "Bacterial small subunit ribosomal RNA", at positions 83 to 837 of the family's 1533-position model. The record is from RNAcentral. Lineage: Bacteria; Bacillati; Bacillota; Bacilli; Lactobacillales; Enterococcaceae.